GCCAAGGAACUGCAUUGGGAUGAGAUUUGCUCUGGUGGUGAUGAAACUGGCAGUGGUGGAGAUCCUGCAGCGGUACAGCUUCUCUGUGUGUAAAGAGACUGAGAUCCCAUUUGAGAUGGAUGUCCAGGGUUUGCUAGCACCCAAAAGACCCAUCCAACUGAAGCUGAUCCCUCGCUCCUAAUCUUCCAGCUGAAGAAUUAWAUCUAAUUCAAAUUGUGAUGUUUAUUUUGUGAAUCUUAUUUUUCUUUCUCACAAAUUAAUUUUUUGUAUAAUGAUACAUCUUGCACAGCGCUUAUAAUCCAACUUGUAUAGUGCUUCUUAGAGUACGCAAAGAAGAUUAAAUGAAUGAGCUUUA
This is a non-coding RNA of Poecilia reticulata (guppy), 355 nucleotides long. Lineage: Eukaryota; Metazoa; Chordata; Actinopteri; Cyprinodontiformes; Poeciliidae. The record is from RefSeq and is a predicted model, not a curated record.